AGCCAUGUGGUGAGCACAAAGCGAACUAUUCUUUCGCCUUUUACUAAAGAAUACCGUGUGCUCUCCACGCUAAGUGGCAUACGCCUAUUUUUGGAGGGUUCCACUUUCGAGUGGGCCC
This is a non-coding RNA of Brassica napus (rape), 118 nucleotides long. The record is from Rfam. Lineage: Eukaryota; Viridiplantae; Streptophyta; Magnoliopsida; Brassicales; Brassicaceae.